UACGGAGGGUGCAAGCGUUAUCCGGAUUCACUGGGUUUAAAGGGUGCGUAGGUGGGUUGGUAAGUCAGUGGUGAAAUCCCCGAGCUUAACUUGGGAACUGCCAUUGAUACUAUCAGUCUUGAAUAUUGUGGAGGUUAGCGGAAUAUGUCAUGUAGCGGUGAGAUGCUUAGAUAUGACAUAGAACACCAAUUGCGAAGGCAGCUGGCUACGCAUAUAUUGACACUGAGGCACGAAAGCGUGGGGAUCAAACAGG
This 253-nucleotide ribosomal RNA is filed under the name uncultured bacterium. RNAcentral describes it as "partial 16S ribosomal RNA". It matches the Rfam family "Bacterial small subunit ribosomal RNA", at positions 524 to 776 of the family's 1533-position model. The record is from RNAcentral.